UACAGAGGUCCCAAGCGUUGUUCGGAUUCACUGGGCGUAAAGGGUGCGUAGGUGGCUGGGUAAGUUUGAUGUGAAAUCUCCGAGCUUAACUCGGAAAUGGCAUUGAAUACUAUCUGGCUGGAGGUUUGGAGGGGGGACUGGAAUUCUCGGUGUAGCAGUGAAAUGCGUAGAUAUCGUGAGGAAGACCAGUGGCGAAGGCGGGUCUCUGGACAGUUCCUGACACUGAGGCACGAAGGCCAGGGGAGCAAACGGG
RNAcentral lists this ribosomal RNA (253 nucleotides) under uncultured bacterium. Its description in RNAcentral is "partial 16S ribosomal RNA". It matches the Rfam family "Bacterial small subunit ribosomal RNA", at positions 524 to 776 of the family's 1533-position model. The record is from RNAcentral.